CUGGGAGUUAAACUAACACUCCAUAGACAAAGAAUGGUAUCACUCAACUAUGCCCCACUAGCGAAUAUCUGUAAUUCAAUCUUCCAGAAAUGGAAAGAUGUACAUUUGUCUUGGAUGGGGAGACUGAACACAAUCAAGAUGGUAGUACUACCAAAAAUUCUGUAUUUAGAAUGUUACCCUUACAGGUUCCAUUACAACUACUCAAAACCGUCCAAACCACACUAAACAAAUUUGUGUGGAGAGACAUGAGGCCACGCUUACCCGUUUCACUCCUCCAUGUACAACCAACAGAUGGGGGCUUGGGUCUCCCGACAAUAUUGACCUACUAUAAAGCCAUCCUAGAGUCAGCUAUAAGAUUACAUGCUCCAAAAAAUACUUUCCAAUGGGCAGAUAUGGAACAAGACAAAUCACACCCACAUACCCUAACGAACAUCUUAUGGUCACCAAAGUCACACCGACCACAUACAAAUGUACUAUACCCUACAUCUGCCCUUACUUUGAAGAUAUGGGACAACCUCAGACCUAACCGACUCGAAGAUAACUUCUGUGCUCAGGCACCUUUAGAAACAUUAGAGAUCAUCUCCCCAUGGCUAUCUCUGAAAAAGUGGACAGAUAUGGGUGUUAAAAAAAUUGGAGGCCUUUGCUCUCAAUCAACGAUUCUACCCUUCCCUGAAAUUCAACAGAAAUACAAGUUACCUAGCUUGUUUAUUUUUGCAUACCUCCAACUAAAGAGUAUUAUAAACAACAAAGUCACGUUCACAACGGACGAGUUCCCCCCACGAAAUAACCAGCUAUACGACUCCACAAUAGAUGUCUAUCAGCCCCAACGAAACCGGGAGCAUUAUCUCUCUGCUACCAGAUCCUCCUACACAAAACUCCACCUAUUUCCUUUAAAUAUGUGGCACAAUGGGAGAAAGAAGGAAUACCCAAGCUCACAGAUGAUCAAUGGCUUAAAGCAUUAAACGCACUUCGAGGCAUCACAUCCUGCUUCUCUCAUAUAGAAGCUCACAAGAAAGUGGUCUAUCGAUGGUACCUCACUCCACACAAGCUACAUAAAAUAUACCCCGCAAUAGAUCCUAAAUGCUGGAGAUGCGGUGCUGAUGAGGGACACAUGACUCACAUAUGGUGGGAAUGCAAAGAGAUCAAGCCCCUCUGGAUACGGGUACACACACUACUACAAGACGAGACGGAAGAAACACAUUCUCUUACACCUACAAUGGGCCUCUUCCUGAUUUUUCCCGACACCUGGAGGUUGGAAGCCAGAAAAAUAGCCACUUUGAUCAUACUGGCGGCCAGAAAUCUUAGCAUUACACUGGAAAUCUACAUAUUGCCCAAACAACAAAGAAUUGAUAGACAAGAUUUAC
Pelobates cultripes (western spadefoot toad) is the source of this 1364-nucleotide non-coding RNA. Lineage: Eukaryota; Metazoa; Chordata; Amphibia; Anura; Pelobatidae. The record is from the annotation of a GenBank genome assembly.